RNAcentral lists this ribosomal RNA (489 nucleotides) under Kolhymorbis bogatovi. RNAcentral's name for it is "partial 16S ribosomal RNA". It matches the Rfam family "Bacterial large subunit ribosomal RNA", at positions 1796 to 2620 of the family's 2925-position model. The record is from RNAcentral. Lineage: Eukaryota; Metazoa; Mollusca; Gastropoda; Planorbidae.
CCGCCUGUUUUUCAAAAACAUAGUUUUAUGAUAGAUAAAUAUAUAAAAUGAAACCUGCCCAGUGUAAUUAUAAAUAAAUGGCCGCAGUACCUUGACUGUGCUAAGGUAGCAUAAUCAAUUGGCUUUUAAUUAAAGUCUGGAAUGAAUGGGAAAGUGGAAAAUAACUGUCUUAAUAGUGUUAUAUAUAAUUUAUUUAAAAGGUGAAAAUACCUUUUCUUAUAAUAAAGACGAGAAGACCCUAUGAGUUUUUAAUAAUACUACUAGUGUGUAUGUUAGUUUUUUGUUGGGGCGACAAAUUAACAAAUUUAACUUAAUGUUACAAUAUUAACCGUUAUUUUUAAAAAAAUUUAAAUUACCUUAGGGAUAACAGCAUAAUUUAUUAUUAAGUUUGUGACCUCGAUGUUGGACUAGGAACUAUAUGGCUAACCGUUAAAAUAGAUUUGUUCUGUUCGAACAAUUUGAUCCUACGUGAUCUGAGUUCAGACCGGA